This 890-nucleotide ribosomal RNA is filed under the name Savignium sp. 'rossi'. Its description in RNAcentral is "partial 16S large subunit ribosomal RNA". The stretch from base 435 to 589 matches the Rfam family "Archaeal large subunit ribosomal RNA", at positions 1883 to 2090 of the family's 2987-position model. The record is from RNAcentral. Lineage: Eukaryota; Metazoa; Arthropoda; Thecostraca; Balanomorpha; Pyrgomatidae.
AAAGAUCUAAAUGUAUUAUAAAUUUUUUGUGUCAGAAAAAUUUUUUAAAUAUAUUUAGUUGUAAAAUUCUAAUCGCUUUUAUUAAUAUCUAGUAACUUUAGAAGUAAAUUCAGUUUAUGAUAAUUAGAAACAUUUUAUUUUUAAUAAGUUUUAAAAUUAUUUUUAAAUUUAUGGGGAUGAGCUCAUAAAUAAAUGCAAAAGAAUAUAACUAUUAAUAAUUUUUUUGUAAGCUUAGAAUUAGCUAUUGGAAAAUGUUAUAAAAAAUAAACUUAAAUUUUGGAUUUAAAUUUCUUUUUUCGGAUAUAAAGUUAAUUAAAAAAUUCAUUUAUUUUUGAAAAUAUGAUAAUAUUAGUAGAUUAAAUUAUUUUGAAUUGAUUGUAAAUUAUUCUUUUUCAUCUUUUAUAUAAACUUUAACAAAAGAACUAGGCAAACACAAUUUCCGAAUGUUUAACAAAAACAUUUCCUCUUAGAUGAAGAGGUAAGGCCUGCUCACUGAUUUUUAAAGAGCCGCAGUAUUCUAACUGUGCUAAGGUAGCAUAAUCAUUAGUCUUUUAAUUGGAGACUGGUAUGAAUGGCUUAACGAGAAAUUAACUUUUUUUGUUAUAAAGAUUGAAUUUAAUUUUUUAGUGAAAAAGCUAAAAUUAUUCAGAAAGACGAGAAGACCCUAUAGAGUUUUAUGUUUAAAAGAAUAAAUUUUUAUUAGAUUUAUGAAUUAUUUAUUUUUAUAUACAUUUUGUUGGGGCGACAUAAAGAUAAAUGAAACUCUUUAUAUUAAAAAUUUUUAUAAAAAUAUUUUUGAUCCUUUAUAAGAGAUUAUAAGAAAAAAUUACCUUAGGGAUAACAGCGUAAUCUUUUUUAAGAGUUCUAAUCGACAAAAAGGUUUGCGACCU